UACGUAGGGGGCAAGCGUUGUCCGGAAUCAUUGGGCGUAAAGCGCGUGUAGGCGGCCCGGUAAGUCCGCUGUGAAAGUCCAGGGCUCAACCCUGGAAUGCCGGUGGAUACUGUCGGGCUCGAGUCCGGAAGAGGCGAGUGGAAUUCCUGGUGUAGCGGUGAAAUGCGCGGAUAUCAGGAGGAACACCAAUGGCGAAGGCAGCUCGCUGGGACGGUACUGACGCUGAGACGCGAAAGCGUGGGGAGCAAACAGG
RNAcentral lists this ribosomal RNA (253 nucleotides) under uncultured bacterium. RNAcentral describes it as "partial 16S ribosomal RNA". It matches the Rfam family "Bacterial small subunit ribosomal RNA", at positions 524 to 776 of the family's 1533-position model. The record is from RNAcentral.